AGUCUGCGGCGGGGGCUUUGUUCUGAGUGAAGCAAGCGGGCGGCAGAGCUGGAGGUUUCACAAGGCUGCUGGGAGAGGCUUCGGUGCAGGAACCCAAGUCCAAGUUUGCUUCUUAGGAUGUGUAAAGCAUGGUCUUUAAGAAAGAGAACCUGGAUUUCAUUGAAUUGUAUUUAUGUCGAAUCACGACCAUCCCAGAUGAGUACUUUGGAGGGAGCAGAACUAGUUCUCUUGUGCAAUUAUUAGCAUGAACUCUGUGCAUGAAAGCAACAUCAGGAGUCUGCCUGGGUCCGAGAGGAGUUCAGCCUUACUACAGCCUCAGAUGAGAACAGGAGUGGGACCAGCUCUGAGUUAGAUGAAACCCAGAAGACUUCAGAGAAAGUCCUCUAUCACUUCCAGCCCAGCCCAGUAAGGGAAACUGGGACUCUUCCUCCUUUUGUUCUACUCAAGUUGCUGCUUCCAAGGCUCUGUGACCGACAAGGGAUGGACUGGACUAUUAAUCUAAAAUGUUUAAUUUUUAAAGUCAUUUGUCAUAGAGAGUCACAACCCCGAGCAAUGAAAAUAUUUUUUAAUUCAUAGGUGAGUGUUGGGUUUUGGUUUGGUUUUGUUUUGUUUUUACCUCACUCCAAACUACUCAUCUUGGGUUUGUGUUGUCCUGGGGUUCUUCAGUUGGGUACCAGAACAGUCUGGUGCACAGUGAGUGAAGCUAUCACUGGCAAGCCUUGGCAUGAGUUGAGCAGGUGUAGUUAACUCAACAUUAAUUGUGCUCCUUGUAAUAAAUCCAUCUCUACCCUAAA
Molecule: long non-coding RNA, 794 nt
Filed under: Mus musculus (house mouse)
Lineage: Eukaryota; Metazoa; Chordata; Mammalia; Rodentia; Muridae
Description: RIKEN cDNA 3110045C21 gene
Source: RNAcentral